This 450-nucleotide ribosomal RNA is filed under the name uncultured bacterium. RNAcentral describes it as "partial 16S ribosomal RNA". It matches the Rfam family "Bacterial small subunit ribosomal RNA", at positions 354 to 796 of the family's 1533-position model. The record is from RNAcentral.
GUGGGGAAUUUUGGACAAUGGGCGCAAGCCUGAUCCAGCAAUGCCGCGUGCAGGAAGAAGGCCUUCGGGUUGUAAACUGCUUUUGUACGGAACGAAACGGUCCGGGUUAAUACCCUGGGCUAAUGACGGUACCGUAAGAAUAAGCACCGGCUAACUACGUGCCAGCAGCCGCGGUAAUACGUAGGGUGCGAUCGUUAAUCGGAAUUACUGGGCGUAAAGCGUGCGCAGGCGGUGCUGUAAGACAGGCGUGAAAUCCCCGGGCUCAACCUGGGAAUUGCGCUUGUGACUGCAGUGCUGGAGUGCGGCAGAGGGGGAUGGAAUUCCGCGUGUAGCAGUGAAAUGCGUAGAUAUGCGGAGGAACACCGAUGGCGAAGGCAAUCCCCUGGGCCUGCACUGACGCUCAUGCACGAAAGCGUGGGGAGCAAACAGGAUUAGAAACCCGUGUAGUCC